RNAcentral lists this ribosomal RNA (750 nucleotides) under uncultured Actinomycetes bacterium. RNAcentral describes it as "bacterial SSU rRNA". It matches the Rfam family "Bacterial small subunit ribosomal RNA", at positions 61 to 826 of the family's 1533-position model. Lineage: Bacteria; Bacillati; Actinomycetota; Actinomycetes. The record is from RNAcentral.
GUCGAGCGAUGAAACACCCUUCGGGUGUGAAUUAGCGGCGAACGGGUGAGGAACACGUGAAGAAUCUGCCUUCAACUCUGGGAUGACUCCGGGAAACCGGGGCUAAUACCGGAUAUGAGCCUUGAUCGCAUGAUCGGGGCUGGAAAGUUUUUCGGUUGAAGAUGACUUCGCGGCCUAUCAGCUUGUUGGUGAGGUAAUGGCUCACCAAGGCGACGACGGGUAGCCGGCCUGAGAGGGCGACCGGCCACACUGGGACUGAGACACGGCCCAGACUCCUACGGGAGGCAGCAGUGGGGAAUAUUGGGCAAUGGAGGAAACUCUGACCCAGCGACGCCGCGUGAGGGAUGAAGGCCUUCGGGUUGUAAACCUCUUUCAGUAGGGAAGAAGCGAAAGUGACGGUACCUACAGAAGAAGCACCGGCUAACUAUGUGCCAGCAGCCGCGGUAAUACAUAGGGUGCAAGCGUUGUCCGGAAUUAUUGGGCGUAAAGAGCUCGUAGGUGGUUCGAUACGUCGGAUGUGAAAAUCAGGGGCUCAACCCCUGACCUGCAUCCGAUACGGUCGAGCUGGAGUUUGGUAGGGGAGACUGGAAUUCCUGGUGUAGCGGUGGAAUGCGCAGAUAUCAGGAGGAACACCGAUGGCGAAGGCAGGUCUCUGGGCCAAUACUGACACUGAGGAGCGAAAGCGUGGGGAGCGAACAGGAUUAGAUACCCUGGUAGUCCACGCCGUAAACGGUGGGCGCUAGUUGUGCG